RNAcentral lists this ribosomal RNA (435 nucleotides) under uncultured archaeon. Its description in RNAcentral is "bacterial SSU rRNA". It matches the Rfam family "Archaeal small subunit ribosomal RNA", at positions 19 to 458 of the family's 1478-position model. The record is from RNAcentral.
GGACCUGACUGCUAUCGGAUUGAUACUAAGCCAUGCGAGUCAUUGUAGCAAUACAAGGCAUACGGCUCAGUAACGCGUAGUCAACCUAACCUAUGGACGGGAAUAACCUCGGGAAACUGAGAAUAAUGCCCGAUAGAACAUUAUGCCUGGAAUGGUUUAUGUUCCAAAUGAUUUAUCGCCGUAGGAUGGGACUGCGGCCUAUCAGUUUGUUGGUGAGGUAAUGGCCCACCAAGACUAUUACAGGUACGGGCUCUGAGAGGAGUAGCCCGGAGAUGGGUACUGAGACACGGACCCAGGCCCUAUGGGGCGCAGCAGGCGAGAAAACUUUGCAAUGUGCGAAAGCACGACAAGGUUAAUCCGAGUGGUUUCUGCUGAAGAAACCUUUUGUCGAGUCCUAGAAACACUGAUGAAUAAGGGGUGGGCGAGUUCUGGUGU